AGCAGCCGCGGUAAUUCCAGCUCCAAUAGCGUAUAUUAAAGUUGUUGCAGUUAAAAGCUCGUAGUUGAAUUUUGGAUUCUACCAAUCGGUCCAUCUUUUGAUGAGUACUGGUUGUGUGGGGUCUAUCCGCCUGGUGAUACGUAAUGUCCUUUAUUGGAUGUUGCGGGUAGUCAGGACCUUUACCUUGAAAAAAUUAGAGUGUUUAAAGCAGGCUUAUGCCGGAAUACAUUAGCAUGGAAUAAUAGAAUAGGACGAAGUUGUUUUAUUUUGUUGGUUUCUAGGACAACCGUAAUGAUUAAUAGGGAUAGUUGGGGCAUUAGUAUUCAAUUGUCAGAGGUGAAAUUCUUGGAUUUACUGAAGACUAACUACUGCGAAAGCAUUUGCCAAGGAUGUUUUCAUUAAUCAAGAACGAAAGUUAGGGAUCGAAGACGAUCAGAUACCGUCGUAGUCUUAACCAUAAACUAUGCCGACUAGGGAUCGGGCGAUGUUGUUUCAAUGACUCGCUCGGCACCUUAUGGGA
This 520-nucleotide ribosomal RNA is filed under the name uncultured Archaeospora. Its description in RNAcentral is "SSU rRNA". It matches the Rfam family "Eukaryotic small subunit ribosomal RNA", at positions 569 to 1095 of the family's 1831-position model. The record is from RNAcentral. Lineage: Eukaryota; Fungi; Glomeromycota; Glomeromycetes; Archaeosporales; Archaeosporaceae.